GGAUUCAGUUCCCCAUUGUGUAAGUGUGGCCUGCUUUCUUUGUUCCUAGAUACAUACUGUGACGCGUUCCCCCUGGGGUGGCACCUGGAACUGGGGUACCGCUGAGCCUGUUAGGGGAAAGGGGAAUUAAAAGGGCUAAAGGACCCCUGCUAAUGACAGAAGUUUGGCAAUCCCUGAUUUACCUAUGGUCUCAGUGAAAAGAAGAGGGACAAAAUUAAAGGUGAACGAGAAGACAGUUUAUUGGGUACAGCUAAGUAAAGAACACUCGGUGGUUUGGAAUCAAGGGCCCACACCCUCUAGCCCUUACACAUGUUAUGGACUAACAGUCAAGAAAUCUAUAUGUUGCAGACGAGACAUCAGUCACAGAGGGAGGGUCAUGUACUACCGAUUGCCUCAGCUCUGGUGUGAUGGACAACCCAGACUUUCUACUGUGAUUGGUGAUGGUGAUGUUCACAGGAGGAACACGGAUCAAAUCGGCUGCUGAACCAGGAUCCCUCAAUCUCAGGUUGACGACAUCAAACUGGUUGUUAGCCUCCACUGGUUGAAUCUUGUGUACCACUUCUAGUGACUUCACCCAUAAGGUUUCAGGUCCUAACAGUGCCACUUGAUUGGCCAAGAGAUCAACCCGAUAGUUCAGAAGCAUGAUCUCUGCAGAGUUAUUUCUAUGGGGGUGCGCCUUGAACAGGAGGCAGUGGACAUUCGUGCUCCUCUCCCUGUGUGAGUAGUGCAAAUGGAACAGCAGAGAGGAUAGGCACCUUG
Long non-coding RNA from Malaclemys terrapin pileata, 759 nucleotides. RefSeq lists it as uncharacterized. The record is from RefSeq and is a predicted model, not a curated record. The transcript is spliced from 3 exons. Lineage: Eukaryota; Metazoa; Chordata; Testudines; Emydidae.